This 484-nucleotide ribosomal RNA is filed under the name uncultured bacterium. RNAcentral describes it as "partial 16S ribosomal RNA". It matches the Rfam family "Bacterial small subunit ribosomal RNA", at positions 30 to 507 of the family's 1533-position model. The record is from RNAcentral.
AUUGAACGCUGGCGGCAUGCCUAACACAUGCAAGUCGAGCGGAUGGAUGGAGCUUUCUCCUGGCUUCAGCUGCCGACGGGUGAGUGAGUCCUACGUAUCUACCCUGCCUUUGGGGCUAACGUCCCUUCACGGGCGCUGAUCUCGCGUCCGUCCUGAUGGUGAAAGUGGGGGUUCUUUGGACCUCACGCUUUCUGCUGUGCCUAGGUCGGAUUAGCUAGUUGGUAGGGUAAAGGCCUACCAAGGCGACGAUCCGUAACUGGUCUGAGAGGCUGAUCAGUCACACUGGAACUGAGACACGGUCCAGACUCCUACGGGAGGCAGCAGUGGGGAAUAUUGGACAAUGGGCGAAAGCCUGAUCCAGCCAUGCCGCGUGUGUGAAGAAGGUCUUCGGAUUGUAAAGCACUGUAAGUAGGGAGGAAGGGAAGUAAGUUAAUACCUGGCUGUUUUGACGGUACCAAAAGAAUAAGCACCGGCUAACUACGUG